This 481-nucleotide ribosomal RNA is filed under the name uncultured bacterium. RNAcentral's name for it is "partial 16S ribosomal RNA". It matches the Rfam family "Bacterial small subunit ribosomal RNA", at positions 28 to 507 of the family's 1533-position model. The record is from RNAcentral.
GACGAACGCUGGCGGCGUGCUUAACACAUGCAAGUCGAACGAUGAUGCUCCAGCUUGCUGGGGUGGAUUAGUGGCGAACGGGUGAGUAACACGUGAGUAACCUGCCCCCUUCUUCGGGAUAAGCUUGGGAAACUGGGUCUAAUACUGGAUAUUCUGCAAUUGUCGCAUGGUGGUUGUGGGAAAGAUUUUUUGGUGGGGGAUGGGCUCGCGGCCUAUCAGCUUGUUGGUGGGGUGAUGGCCUACCAAGGCGUCGACGGGUAGCCGGCCUGAGAGGGUGACCGGCCACACUGGGACUGAGAUACGGCCCAGAGUCCUACGGGAGGCAGCAGUGGGGAAUAUUGCACAAUGGGCGCAAGCUUGAUGCAGCGACGCCGCGUGAGGGAUGACGGCUUUCGGGUUGUAAACCUCUUUCGAUGGGGAACAAGGCCAUAUUUUUGUGUGGUUGAGGGUACCUGUAUAAGAAGCGCCGGCUAACUACGUG